GCUCUCGUAGAUCAGUGGUAGAUCGCCUUCUUUCAAUGUAACUGCUUGCUGGUUGGUUAAGGAGGUCGUGUGGGUUCGACACCCACCGAGGGCA
This is a non-coding RNA of Mycena epipterygia, 94 nucleotides long. NCBI's taxonomy places the organism in Eukaryota, Fungi, Basidiomycota, Agaricomycetes, Agaricales, Mycenaceae. The record is from the annotation of a GenBank genome assembly.